Long non-coding RNA from Neltuma alba, 653 nucleotides. RefSeq lists it as uncharacterized. The record is from RefSeq and is a predicted model, not a curated record. NCBI's taxonomy places the organism in Eukaryota, Viridiplantae, Streptophyta, Magnoliopsida, Fabales, Fabaceae. The transcript is spliced from 2 exons.
UCUUGUACUUUUAAGUAACUAAACUGGGGUAUGUUAUGACUUCUCAUAGAAUGGGCACAUUUGGCAGACUUGUUCCUCCUUUUGCCGAAGAUGAAUUAGAUGAAGCUUAUAGAAAUGCUGUGAGAUUUGAGGAGGAGACUAUACUACUGCAACAAUCCUGUAUGAUUAUCUACGGAAAAUAUCCUUAGAGCUACUGAAAGUAGGAACGAGAGGCCCUAACACUAAAACAAACUCCAUUCAAUCAAACUGUGGUGAGAAUUCAGAUACAGGUGAUUAUAUUCAAAAUCUUCUUGCAUUCUAUUUGUUGCAAGUACCCUAUGCAAGCUAAUAUACUGAUAUGUUAUACUUUCAUACUUUGAUCUCUGAAUUAAACUCCAUAAGCACUUAGCUGAUUUCUAUUUUUGUCGUUGUUUUUAUUUUUGGGAUGCUUGCUUUAAGAUUGUUUGGAAAGGACAUGAUGCACUUACUCAUGAAUGGUGAAUAGGGUCUGUUAUGGAGGCUCAGGUGCUUGAAGGAAGGAAGAGGAAACAACCACAGUGGCUAUCUGAAUUUGUCAUCUAUUGGUGAUAAUUGUGCAGACCAAAUGUUUGUUAAGCCUAAGUGCAAUUAUGUCGUUGUAGUGUAAUCCACAUUCAAAUCAAGUUUUAAUUAUA